Molecule: ribosomal RNA, 484 nt
Filed under: uncultured bacterium
Lineage: Bacteria
Description: partial 16S ribosomal RNA
Rfam family: Bacterial small subunit ribosomal RNA
Source: RNAcentral
AUUGAACGCUGGCGACAGGCCUAACACAUGCAAGUCGAGCGGAUGAAGGGAGCUUGCUCCUGGAUUCAGCGGCGGACGGGUGAGUAAUGCCUAGGAAUCUGCCUGGUAGUGGGGGAUAACGUCCGGAAACGGGCGCUAAUACCGCAUACGUCCUGAGGGAGAAAGUGGGGGAUCUUCGGACCUCACGCUAUCAGAUGAGCCUAGGUCGGAUUAGCUAGUCGGUGGGGUAAAGGCCUACCAAGGCGACGAUCCGUAACUGGUCUGAGAGGAUGAUCAAUCACACUGGAACUGAGACACGGUCCAGACUCCUACGGGAGGCAGCAGUGGGGAAUAUUGGACAAUGGGCGAAAGCCUGAUCCAGCCAUGCCGCGUGUGUGAAGAAGGUCUUCGGAUUGUAAAGCACUUUAAGUUGGGAGGAAGGGCAGUAAGUUAAUACCUUGCUGUUUUGACGUUACCAACAGAAUAAGCACCGGCUAACUUCGUG